RNAcentral lists this ribosomal RNA (693 nucleotides) under uncultured Bacteroidales bacterium. RNAcentral describes it as "bacterial SSU rRNA". It matches the Rfam family "Bacterial small subunit ribosomal RNA", at positions 32 to 715 of the family's 1533-position model. Lineage: Bacteria; Pseudomonadati; Bacteroidota; Bacteroidia; Bacteroidales. The record is from RNAcentral.
AACGCUAGCUACAGGCUUAACACAUGCAAGUCGAGGGGCAGCAUCAUCAAAGCUUGCUUUGAUGGAUGGCGACCGGCGCACGGGUGAGUAACACGUAUCCAACCUGCCGACAACACUGGGAUAGCCUUUCGAAAGAAAGAUUAAUACCGGAUGGCAUAGUUUUCCCGCAUGGGAUAAUUAUUAAAGAAUUUCGGUUGUCGAUGGGGAUGCGUUCCAUUAGGCAGUUGGCGGGGUAACGGCCCACCAAACCAACGAUGGAUAGGGGUUCUGAGAGGAAGGUCCCCCACAUUGGAACUGAGACACGGUCCAAACUCCUACGGGAGGCAGCAGUGAGGAAUAUUGGUCAAUGGACGAGAGUCUGAACCAGCCAAGUAGCGUGAAGGAUGACUGCCCUAUGGGUUGUAAACUUCUUUUAUACGGGAAUAAAGUUAGCCACGUGUGGUUUUUUGUAUGUACCGUAUGAAUAAGGAUCGGCUAACUCCGUGCCAGCAGCCGCGGUAAUACGGAGGAUCCGAGCGUUAUCCGGAUUUAUUGGGUUUAAAGGGAGCGUAGGCGGGUUGUUAAGUCAGUUGUGAAAGUUUGCGGCUCAACCGUAAAAUUGCAGUUGAUACUGGCGACCUUGAGUGCAACAGAGGUAGGCGGAAUUCGUGGUGUAGCGGUGAAAUGCUUAGAUAUCACGAAGAACUCCGAUUG